Molecule: ribosomal RNA, 386 nt
Filed under: uncultured bacterium
Lineage: Bacteria
Description: bacterial SSU rRNA
Rfam family: Bacterial small subunit ribosomal RNA
Source: RNAcentral
AUUGAACGCUGGCGGCAUGCCUUACACAUGCAAGUCGAACGGCAGCACGGGAGCAAUCCUGGUGGCGAGUGGCGAACGGGUGAGUAAUAUAUCGGAACGUGCCCGGUCGUGGGGGAUAACGUAGCGAAAGCUACGCUAAUACCGCAUACGAUCUACGGAUGAAAGCGGGGGAUCGCAAGACCUCGCGCGAUUGGAGCGGCCGAUAUCAGAUUAGGUAGUUGGUGAGGUAAAGGCUCACCAAGCCGACGAUCUGUAGCUGGUCUGAGAGGACGACCAGCCACACUGGGACUGAGACACGGCCCAGACUCCUACGGGAGGCAGCAGUGGGGAAUUUUGGACAAAUGGGCGCAAGCCUGAUCCAGCAAUGCCGCCGUGCAGGAUGAAGG